RNAcentral lists this ribosomal RNA (490 nucleotides) under uncultured bacterium. RNAcentral describes it as "partial 16S ribosomal RNA". It matches the Rfam family "Bacterial small subunit ribosomal RNA", at positions 30 to 507 of the family's 1533-position model. The record is from RNAcentral.
AUUGAACGCUGGCGGCAGGCCUAACACAUGCAAGUCGAAUGGUAACAGGAAACAGCUUGCUGUUUCGCUGACGAGUGGCGGACGGGUGAGUAAUGUCUGGGAAACUGCCUGAUGGAGGGGGAUAACUACUGGAAACGGUAGCUAAUACCGCAUAACGUCGCAAGACCAAAGAGGGGGACCUUCUGGCCUCUUGCCAUCAGAUGUGCCCAGAUGGGAUUAGCUAGUAGGUGGGGUAACGGCUCACCAAGGCGACGAUCCCUAGCUGGUCUGAGAGGAUGACAGGCACACCUGGAACUGAGACACGUUCCGGAUUCCUAGGGGAGGCAGCAGUGGGGAAUAUUGCACAAUGGGCGCAAGCCUGAUGCAGCCAUGCCGCGUGUAUGAAGAAGGCCUUCGGGUUGUAAAGUACUUUCAGCGGGGAGGAAGGGAGUAAAGUUAAUACCUUUGCUCAUUGACGUUACCCGCAGAAGAAGCACCGGCUAACUCCGUG